CCUGUCAGCUAAUGGGCGCACACUCCGCAGAACUAAAACUGCAUAAGUGACAGGGUACUUAAAGAAGCGUUUGGGCUAUAAAGCGCGGUGAAAACCUGCAAAGUACAUAGGGUAAAUAAAUUUAGCAUUGAACCGUCAGAAAUAGCCUUCUGGCGGUUUCUU
Molecule: non-coding RNA, 162 nt
Filed under: [Clostridium] clostridioforme CM201
Lineage: Bacteria; Bacillati; Bacillota; Clostridia; Lachnospirales; Lachnospiraceae
Description: FuFi-1 RNA
Rfam family: FuFi-1 RNA
Source: Rfam by way of RNAcentral